Molecule: long non-coding RNA, 573 nt
Organism: Polistes dominula (European paper wasp)
Lineage: Eukaryota; Metazoa; Arthropoda; Insecta; Hymenoptera; Vespidae
Source: RefSeq, a predicted model, not a curated record
AUACACAUACUUUGAACUCUACAAACAAUACAUACGAUUAAUCAUUUAUUAUAUAUUACGAACACGUAAUUAGUAUAUACAUUACUAUGAAAAAUGAUCGCAGUUUAUUCCGCAAUACUUGUCAUAUUGUUUAAUAUUAAUCACCACAAAAAGUGAAGAUAAUAUACUUCAUUUUCGUGCUUAUUGUUAAGAUUAGAAUUUUGUAAUCUUUUAUAUCGCAUCCCGCGGGUAGAGAAUUUAUUUGGAUCACUGUCACGCGACUCCGUACCGACGAUGGCCCCCCAAGCAAAUAGUGAAAAAUACGUUCAAAUUAUUGCAAAUGUGGGGGUUCUGCGGAUGGUCACACUCGACUGAAGUUACCCGGUCGAGGUCACUAGGAGAUCAGAUUCAUCGAGAAGUCGUUGAAUCGCGGAAGAGAGGACCAUACCUAUUACAUUUUAAUAAAUCAUACUUCGGUAAAUCUACCUAUGAUAGCAGGUGUUUCAAGUUAAGAAGAAUCUCAAGUAGUUUUGCACUACUUUCCUCAAGUUAAACUUCGGAUCGAUCAUGCAUCUUUACAAACAGGAAAACAUU